CCGCCUGCGGCUGCGUUCUAAUCACAAGCCAGGAAGGAAGAAGGGAGGGCUGCAGGGCUGUGUGUGCGGGAAAUAGCGAGGAAAGAGAAGAAAUCCGGGAGCUCGCGGGCGCUCUGGUUGCAAUCGCGCCCCCCUCAUCUGUCCCCGCCGUUCCCCUUCGGAAGCUGCCCCAGGCACACUUCCCCGCUUCUUUCCAGUCUCCUCUCCUCUGGUUCUCCCGACACCCGGUCUCCCUGUUACGCCUCACCCUCCUUCCCUUGCUCCCUCCCUCUCCCUCCCUCCCUCCCUCCCAUCGUCAGGCUCCCCGCCCUUAGUAUCGC
This 320-nucleotide long non-coding RNA is filed under the name Homo sapiens (human). The record is from RNAcentral. Lineage: Eukaryota; Metazoa; Chordata; Mammalia; Primates; Hominidae.